Xenia sp. Carnegie-2017 is the source of this 794-nucleotide long non-coding RNA. RefSeq lists it as uncharacterized. The record is from RefSeq and is a predicted model, not a curated record. NCBI's taxonomy places the organism in Eukaryota, Metazoa, Cnidaria, Anthozoa, Malacalcyonacea, Xeniidae. The transcript has 2 exons.
GUUAUGAGCAUUGUUGUCCUUCAUAUAAGAAUGCAGGUUUCAUUGUUGUAAAGAGUGUCGGUUUUUUCCCUGGGAAUUGGAAUUUGUUUGUUAGAGUCAUUCAGAAUUGAAUUAUUGAUGUCAUUUGUUGAAGAAUUACUCGUCUCGCGCUUUAUUCACGAAGCAACAGUUGACUACUAGGAUUUCUCAAUCGACAGAAACGUGUACGGUACUUUUGAACCAUUAAAAAAUACCUUCCUGAAACGCUAACCAUCACCGAAACCUGGCUACCAAAGUAUAUUGAUGGUGAUGCAGCUAUAUUAUAUAUGGCUACAGCGAGGCUUAGGAUGCUUGUAUCUGAAUUAUCUCUGUGAAUUGUGCGACGAAUCCAUUGGCAUCUGGCGUUGUCUUGGAUUGACGACUCCAGUAAGAGUGAAGACGCCAAUAAAAAUAUGACAUUUAGUUUGGCAGCUUAAACCUGUAGGACGCGAUGUCUGCUGCAGAUGCUGAAUCUAUGUCAUAUUCUAAAAUUUUGCUAGAAAAAUGUCAUUUUUAAAAAUAUCUUGGAGUAGAUAUAAUACCCACAACAGUUCCAAAAUAAAUCUUAUGAAAGCCCUGCAUUGUAUUUAUGCCAUAUUGCUAUCAUAUUUUUGUGCUAAUUUUCAACUCAUAUAUACAUGCCACAUAUAUAAUUGUAUAGUGGCCACUUAAUGGUGACCUAUAAAAUUGCAUCCAUUCCAAUGACAUAACCCGUUGACCAUGACGUUGAUGUGGAUAUCAAUAUAAGCAAUAUACUUUAUUGAGACAUGUGCAAA